AUUUCAUUUCACAAAACGUCAAAAUCUUUAUUAUCAUUCUUUACAGUUGAUGUGGCAAACACUUCUUUCCCGCUUAUUUUCCUCAUCUUUCCUGCAACACCUACAUCUCAAGUUCCUUAUAUUAUAUACAAGUUCCUUCUCGCCAUAUUUGAGACUUUCCGAUCCAAGCAAAAUUACUCUCCCCAUUAUAAGCUCUUACGUGCAGUUUGAGAAGUGGCUAUGAGGCAUCAGUUACUACUCACCCAAAGCCAACACUUUGAGGUUAUCAAUUCUGGGGGCUCUGAAAGGAAUGAUGGUGUUGUGUAAAGAUAAAACUACAUAUAAAUCGUCUUUUUAGAGAUAACAAAUAAGCCGACGAAAACUUGAAGAAAAACAGCUUACUUGAGGGGCAUUUAUUGGGUAGUGAGCCCUGUAAUCAUAAAGAAAAUGUUGUACUCAAAUUUAGAAUAACGUUGUAAUCAAAUUUAGACUGUUUGUAAAAUAUUUUCCAGACAGAGUCUGACGACCAAAUCCCCAUGAAAACGGUUCUCCUCCACUGCAUCUUCAGCGCUUGUUUUCAUCACUGAAAUUGGUUAUCAGACAAGCAAAAAUAAAGGAAAAUGCAGAAGCAAACUGAUUCUUGCCACAGAAUCCAAAUUGCAUCACCCACCAUGGAUGCCUAGACCACCACCUCGUACUUCCUGCAGUCUAGACAUGGGUAUCUCGGAAAUGCUUCUGGAUUGAAGCUCCAAUUGGAAACUUGGAAAACCACUGUCCUUCCGCACAGAGAGCGCGGCCCGUGGUGUCUCUCACUGGACCCAGCUCACCUCUGCAGGCACCUCGUCCACUCGGCGGCUGCUGCUGCCCUUUCUGCCGUUAAU
This is a long non-coding RNA of Lagenorhynchus albirostris (white-beaked dolphin), 860 nucleotides long. RefSeq lists it as uncharacterized. Lineage: Eukaryota; Metazoa; Chordata; Mammalia; Artiodactyla; Delphinidae. The transcript is spliced from 3 exons. The record is from RefSeq and is a predicted model, not a curated record.